RNAcentral lists this ribosomal RNA (443 nucleotides) under uncultured bacterium. RNAcentral describes it as "partial 16S ribosomal RNA". It matches the Rfam family "Bacterial small subunit ribosomal RNA", at positions 338 to 795 of the family's 1533-position model. The record is from RNAcentral.
CCUACGGGUGGCAGCAGUGGGGAAUAUUGGGCAAUGGGCGCAAGCCUGACCCAGCAACGCCGCGUGAAGGAAGAAGGCUUUCGGGUUGUUAACUUCUUUUUUUGAGGACGAAACAAAUGACGGUACUCAAUGUAUAAGCCUCGGCUAACUACGUGCCAGCAGCCGCGGUAUUACGUAGGCCGCAAGCGUUAUCCGGAUUUACUGGGUGUAAAGGGUGUGUAGGUGGGACUGGAAGUCAGAUGUGAAAACCAUGGGCUCAACCCAUGGCGUGAAUUUGAAACUGGAGUUCUUGAGUGAGGGAGAGGCAGGCGGAAUGCGGGGUGGAGCGGGGAAAUGCGUAGAUAUAAGGAGGAACACCAGGGGCGAAGGCGGCCUGCUGGACAUUAACUGACGCUGAGGCGCGAAAGCGUGGGGAGCAAACAGGAUGAGAUACCCGUGUAGUC